GAUGAACGCUGGCGGCGUGCCUAAUACAUGCAAGUCGAGCGAACAGACGAGGAGCUUGCUCCUUUGACGUUAGCGGCGGACGGGUGAGUAACACGUGGGUAACCUACCUAUAAGACUGGGAUAACUUCGGGAAACCGGAGCUAAUACCGGAUAAUAUUUCGAACCGCAUGGUUCGAUAGUGAAAGAUGGCUUUGCUAUCACUUAUAGAUGGACCUGCGCCGUAUUAGCUAGUUGGUAAGGUAACGGCUUACCAAGGCAACGAUACGUAGCCGACCUGAGAGGGUGAUCGGCCACACUGGAACUGAGACACGGUCCAGACUCCUACGGGAGGCAGCAGUAGGGAAUCUUCCGCAAUGGGCGAAAGCCUGACGGAGCAACGCCGCGUGAGUGAUGAAGGUCUUCGGAUCGUAAAACUCUGUUAUUAGGGAAGAACAAACGUGUAAGUAACUGUGUACGUCUUGACGGUACCUAAUCAGAAAGCCACGGCUAACUACGUG
Molecule: ribosomal RNA, 497 nt
Filed under: uncultured bacterium
Lineage: Bacteria
Description: partial 16S ribosomal RNA
Rfam family: Bacterial small subunit ribosomal RNA
Source: RNAcentral